This 741-nucleotide long non-coding RNA is filed under the name Oryctolagus cuniculus (rabbit). RNAcentral's name for it is "lncRNA (ENSOCUG00000037775.1)". Lineage: Eukaryota; Metazoa; Chordata; Mammalia; Lagomorpha; Leporidae. The record is from RNAcentral.
AUGCAGGUAGCGUCCAUGCCAGGGCUCUGCCGGGCAGGAGACACAGCUACCAGGAAGAGCUCGCUCCCCUGGAGGCUUCCACUGGGGGCUGUGAAUGCCAGGAUGGUGCAAGCCCUCUCUCCUGGGAAGAGAGCCUGUGUCCAAGAUGGAGUCCAAGAGACAGAGAGCACCCUCAGAUCCCAUGAGAUCCCUCAGUGUCUGCGGAUCUUUUCCAGCCCACAAAUACAGACGUUCCGGUUUCCCAUUCCUGAAACAUUGAUAUGGUCUGAUAGAUUUAGAGGCACCGGUGCUUGGCGGGUAGUGAGGAAGACUUUGGUGAAGCAGGAGGAGGCUGAAGCCACAGACCGUGUUCAGGAAGUGACGCUCCUGCUUCACCAAGUGUCCACCACAGCCCCGGCAGCCACGAGGGGCAGCUCAGCAAGGCCACCAAGGGCUCAGGGUGCCCCACACCCUGUGCCUCUGCUUUACCCAGAGCCUGAUCCUCUGAGUGGCCAUGGACACAUCCACCUCAGCUGGACCAGUGCUUGUCCCUGGACCAUGAGGACCACCAGGGAGGUCCAAGGCAGGAAUACGGGUAACGCCGGCCAGCAGUGCCUGGAGAACGACCCAGCAAUCGCUCCCCCGUCAGUGACGUCACGGGCUCCACUGGCAGCCAGCACACAAUUUAAUGUCCAGGAAAAUGAGUUUAUGCUGUUUGAAGGAGGAGCUGAGAUCAGCAUACCCAGCUUGAACUUGGCAUAG